UUAACUCUUCCUCCUUCAUUUCCUGAUCUUUUUUAGCAGCCAGAGUUCGAAGACGGUUCCAUACGGAUCUUAGAGAAACAAGUAGAAGACCUCCAGAAGCAGCUGGCAGAGAAAACAGGCGAGAAGGAAAAUCUUGGGAAGGAGUUGGAGGUCCUUAGGAGCCGCCUCUCAUCAGUUGAGAACGAGAAGGAGAACACCAGCUACGACAUUGAAACUCUUCAAGAUGAAGAAGGAGAGUUACUGGACUUUCCAGG
Pogona vitticeps (central bearded dragon) is the source of this 254-nucleotide non-coding RNA. NCBI's taxonomy places the organism in Eukaryota, Metazoa, Chordata, Lepidosauria, Squamata, Agamidae. The record is from RefSeq and is a predicted model, not a curated record.